AGCAGCUCCGGUCCAACCCCGCCGCCGCCUCCUCCUCCUCCUCCUCGAUGCCCGCGUUGCCUCCAGCCGCCGCCUCCGACGUGGCGAAGGCCGACGACCGAGCGGACGGUUCGAGGGAUUCGUCGUCGCUCCCGAGGGAGGAGGUGGUCCGGCGCCUGCGUCUGCUGCGCCAGCCGGCCACCCUCUUCGGCGAGGACGACGCCGCGCGCCUCCGCCGCCUCCACGACGCGCUCGAGGACCCCGCCGCGGUCGCGGGCGUGGACGCCACCGAGAUCGGGGAGGGGCAGACCAACGACUUCCUCCGCGACAUCCAGGCCCCGCGCGGCAAGGCCGCGGCCGUGGCGUCCAAGCCCAAGCCCGGCGCGGC
This 367-nucleotide long non-coding RNA is filed under the name Triticum aestivum (bread wheat). Its description in RNAcentral is "long non-coding RNA (TAES_LNC002730)". The record is from RNAcentral. Lineage: Eukaryota; Viridiplantae; Streptophyta; Magnoliopsida; Poales; Poaceae.